UACGAAGGGGGCUAGCGUUGCUCGGAAUCACUGGGCGUAAAGCGCACGUAGGCGGACUCUUAAGUCGGUGGUGAAAUCCUGGAGCUCAACUCCAGAACUGCCUUCGAUACUGAGAGUCUCGAGUCCGGGAGAGGUGAGUGGAACUGCAAGUGUAGAGGUGAAAUUCGUAGAUAUUCGCAAGAACACCAGUGGCGAAGGCGGCUCACUGGCCCGGUACUGACGCUGAGGUGCGAAAGCGUGGGGAGCGAACAGG
This 253-nucleotide ribosomal RNA is filed under the name uncultured bacterium. RNAcentral describes it as "partial 16S ribosomal RNA". It matches the Rfam family "Bacterial small subunit ribosomal RNA", at positions 524 to 776 of the family's 1533-position model. The record is from RNAcentral.